AGAGUUUGAUCAUGGCUCAGAUUGAACGCUGGCGGCAGGCCUAACACAUGCAAGUCGAACGGUAACAGGAAGAAGCUUGCUUCUUUGCUGACGAGUGGCGGACGGGUGAGUAAUGUCUGGGAAACUGCCUGAUGGAGGGGGAUAACUACUGGAAACGGUAGCUAAUACCGCAUAACGUCGCAAGACCAAAGAGGGGGACCUUCGGGCCUCUUGCCAUCGGAUGUGCCCAGAUGGGAUUAGCUAGUAGGUGGGGUAACGGCUCACCUAGGCGACGAUCCCUAGCUGGUCUGAGAGGAUGACCAGCCACACUGGAACUGAGACACGGUCCAGACUCCUACGGGAGGCAGCAGUGGGGAAUAUUGCACAAUGGGCGCAAGCCUGAUGCAGCCAUGCCGCGUGUAUGAAGAAGGCCUUCGGGUUGUAAAGUACUUUCAGCGGGGAGGAAGGGAGUAAAGUUAAUACCUUUGCUCAUUGACGUUACCCGCAGAAGAAGCACCGGCUAACUCCGUGCCAGCAGCCGCGGUAAUACGGAGGGUGCAAGCGUUAAUCGGAAUUACUGGGCGUAAAGCGCACGCAGGCGGUUUGUUAAGUCAGAUGUGAAAUCCCCGGGCUCAACCUGGGAACUGCAUCUGAUACUGGCAAGCUUGAGUCUCGUAGAGGGGGGUAGAAUUCCAGGUGUAGCGGUGAAAUGCGUAGAGAUCUGGAGGAAUACCGGUGGCGAAGGCGGCCCCCUGGACGAAGACUGACGCUCAGGUGCGAAAGCGUGGGGAGCAAACAGGAUUAGAUACCCUGGUAGUCCACGCCGUAAACGAUGUCGACUUGGAGGUUGUGCCCUUGAGGCGUGGCUUCCGGAGCUAACGCGUUAAGUCGACCGCCUGGGGAGUACGGCCGCAAGGUUAAAACUCAAAUGAAUUGACGGGGGCCCGCACAAGCGGUGGAGCAUGUGGUUUAAUUCGAUGCAACGCGAAGAACCUUACCUGGUCUUGACAUCCACAGAACUUUCCAGAGAUGGAUUGGUGCCUUCGGGAACUGUGAGACAGGUGCUGCAUGGCUGUCGUCAGCUCGUGUUGUGAAAUGUUGGGUUAAGUCCCGCAACGAGCGCAACCCUUAUCUUUUGUUGCCAGCGGUCCGGCCGGGAACUCAAAGGAGACUGCCAGUGAUAAACUGGAGGAAGGUGGGAUGACGUCAAGUCAUCAUGGCCCUUACGACCAGGGCUACACACGUGCUACAAUGGCGCAUACAAAGAGAAGCGACCUCGCGAGAGCAAGCGGACCUCAUAAAGUGCGUCGUAGUCCGGAUUGGAGUCUGCAACUCGACUCCAUGAAGUCGGAAUCGCUAGUAAUCGUGGAUCAGAAUGCCACGGUGAAUACGUUCCCGGGCCUUGUACACACCGCCCGUCACACCAUGGGAGUGGGUUGCAAAAGAAGUAGGUAGCUUAACCUUCGGGAGGGCGCUUACCACUUUGUGAUUCAUGACUGGGGUGAAGUCGUAACAAGGUAACCGUAGGGGAACCUGCGGUUG
Molecule: ribosomal RNA, 1521 nt
Filed under: metagenome
Description: bacterial SSU rRNA
Rfam family: Bacterial small subunit ribosomal RNA
Source: RNAcentral